This 403-nucleotide ribosomal RNA is filed under the name uncultured bacterium. RNAcentral's name for it is "bacterial SSU rRNA". It matches the Rfam family "Bacterial small subunit ribosomal RNA", at positions 355 to 774 of the family's 1533-position model. The record is from RNAcentral.
GGAGGAAUAUUGGGCAAUGGACGAAAGUCUGACCCAGCAACGCCGCGUGAAGGAUGAAGGCCUUCGGGUCGUAAACUUCUUUUGAGGGAGACGAGCAAGGACGGUAUCCCUCGAAUAAGCCACGGCUAACUACGUGCCAGCAGCCGCGGUAAAACGUAGGUGGCGAGCGUUAUCCGGAUUCAUUGGGCGUAAAGAGCUUGUAGGUGGUGCGAUAAGUUGGACGUGAAAACUCCGGGCUUAACUUGGAGAGGCCGUUCAAUACUGUUGUGCUAGAGGGCGUCAGAGGGAAGUGGAAUUCCUGGUGUAGCAGUGAAAUGCGUAGAUAUCAGGAGGAACACCCGUGGCGAAGGCGGCUUCCUGGGACGUACCUGACACUGAGAAGCGAAAGCUAGGGGAGCAAACG